Molecule: ribosomal RNA, 397 nt
Filed under: uncultured bacterium
Lineage: Bacteria
Description: partial 16S ribosomal RNA
Rfam family: Bacterial small subunit ribosomal RNA
Source: RNAcentral
AUACGUAGGGGGCGAGCGUUGUCCGGAAUGAUUGGGCGUAAAGGGCGCGUAGGCGGCCGCUUAAGUCUGGAGUGAAAGUCCUGUUUUCAAGAUGGGAAUUGCUUUGGAUACUGGGGGGCUUGAGUGCAGGAGAGGUUAUCGGAAUUCCCGGUGUAGCGGUGAAAUGCGUAGAGAUCGGGAGGAACACCAGUGGCGAAGGCGGGUAACUGGACUGCAACUGACGCUGAGGCGCGAAAGUGUGGGGAGCAAACAGGAUUAGAUACCCUGGUAGUCCACACUGUAAACGAUGAAUGCUAGGUGUAAGAGGUAUCGACCCCAUUUGUUCCGGAGUCAACACAAUAAGCAUUCCGCCUGGGGAGUACGGCCGCAAGGUUGAAACUCAAAUGAAUUGACGGGG